AUGCUGAGAAUCAGAUUAAGAAUAGGAAUAAGAUUGAGAACACUUACCUGCCCUCCCAUAGUAACACUGCUGUCCAUUAAAGCAGCAGUUGAUAGCUUCACACUCAGCACCAUUGAUCACAGGUGGUCCACAUUGGAUCUGCUCAUAAUCAGCUACAGCACAUUUAUCAAGGGGCUCUGCCUGCACCACUGGCUUCUGAUGCUGAAACUGCUGGUUAGUUUGUUGGCGAACUGGCUUCUGAAGCUGAAACUGCUGGCUAGUUUGUUGAACUGGCUUCUGAAGCUGAAACUGCUGGUUAGUUUGUUGUUGAACUGGCUUCUGAAGCUGAAACUGCUGGUUAGUUUGUUGUUGAACUGGCUUCUGAAGCUGAAUCUGCUGGUCAGUUUGCCGGAUUAUCAGAGCUUGAGGUUUCUGAGGCAUAUUGCUCCACUGUGGAACAGCAUGACAGAAACCACACACUGCCAAAAUCUGAACCAAACACCAACUUCCAGCCAUUGUUCAACAGCUUAGCACAAAAUGGAGAUGCUGCCCUUUGAUCUUUUUAUACUCUACAGGUUUCAGCUAAUUCAAGAUAGUCCCACCCACCUUCAUUAACCCUCAUGAUUCUCCAGACUUGCAUGAGUUGGCGCUUAUGCAGAGUGAUUCUUGAACGCUGUGUCCCAGACUGAAGUGUACGGAGCCCCGCAUAUGACAUGCAAGAAAAAAUAAAUAAAUUGUGCGCACGAUUUACUAAUUCGUUCCCUCAAUGUACUAAAAAGUGCACACGAUUACUAUUGCAUUCCCUCGAUUUACUAUUGCGUUCCCUCGAUUUGCUAUAUCGUGCGCACGGUUUAGCAAAUCGAGGGAACGAAUUAGUAAAUCGUGCGCACAAUUUAUAAAUCGAGUGAACGAAAUAGUAAUCAUGUGCACAUUUUAGUACAUUGAGGGAACGAAUUAGUAAAUCGUACGCACGAUUUAGCCUACUAUUUUUUCCUGCAUGCCAUGUGCGGGGCUCCGUAAAAAAAAGUGUUAAAAGCCAGGGUUUUUUUUAACACAAAGCCCACAGACCAUAAAACAACUGCUAUAUAAGGCAAUAGUCUUUCCCUUUGUUGUGUUUUUGUAGUGCUGUCAUGCAAGAUAUAUCUACAAAUGUUUUAACAAAACUUUAGUACUUCAGUAUUUUGUAUGCAUGUCCUGCUGUGUAGUAUUUUCUAAUGUUAAGAUUGCAAACCUGUCAAACCCCAUAAGUGUUUCCAUUUUCUUUUGUUUUAGUACUAUUCAGGAGAAAAUGAGCCUGCUGGGGAAAGACUUAAAAAAUACAAAGUAAAGUUAAUAGACACUUUUUUUGCUGAAAUUCAUUGUGCUGUUGUUGUUAACAGGCAUGGUUUAUUUGCUCUGCCUUAGGAUUGCAAGUGUCCUGGGACAGGUGAGGGAGUGAGUGGAAGCUGGUGGAGCUGCUCAGAGAGGACAUCAAACACCAGAGAAACAGAGGAGAGAAGAGCACAGGAGAGCAAGUGUCCUGGGACAGGUGAGGGAGUGAGUGGAAGCUGGUGGAGCUGCUCAGGGAGGAAAUCAAACACCAGAAAGAGACAGAGGAGAGAAGAGCACAGCAGAGCAGGGAGAGAAUGGAGAGACAAUAAAUUAUUUAUUAACCCUUCUCUAAACAAGAGAAAACCGUAGAAAAAUUGGGUACAUUACAAGUUUUCAAUAUCUUUUUUUAAAUGUCACAUUGUCAAUGAAAUAACCUUGUACUAAAUUCCUUAUUCUUUUGUAAGGGUAGUCUUGUCAACGUGCAUGUGAGUAGUUGUGUGUGUACAGAGCUUUAUCUUUAUCUUUCUUUAUCUGUCAUAUUGCAAUAACGUUGCCACAGCAUGUCUGAUUAUUGUCAUCAGUGCAUAUUGUAGUUGAGUUUAUACAGAAUGUGGAGAAGUGAUGCGCACAUUAUUCACAUGCAUGUUUUGUGCCAUUUCUUGUGUAGUAUUUAAUAUUAAUGUAUAGAAAAGAUGUAUACUGAGAUAAAUGUUGUUUACUGUAUACAGAUGGAUUCUGAUAUUUCAUUUGUUUAUUUCAGACUAAACCACAUUUGCCACCUCUGUUAAUUUAAGAACUGUACAAUGCUGGAUGAUGUAAAGUCACAUCCUGAAGAUAUAAACCAUUGAACAACCACCUGUCUCCUGUCACACUUCUUGUUGGAGUUCCGUAGUGGACUAGCAUUAUACCUACUAUAGUGAACAGAUACCUUUUACAUUUGGUCCCUCAAGCCGGAUAGCUAGAGCCACUACGGUGACAUGGAUCAACAGAUACUGCAUUAUUCUCCCGAUAACACAUGUCUUACUCAGAUGGAAGCACGAGUUCGUCAGAUCCCUUCAUAUUUGCAGGCUUACGAUGUAGC
Long non-coding RNA from Cyprinus carpio carpio, 2371 nucleotides. Lineage: Eukaryota; Metazoa; Chordata; Actinopteri; Cypriniformes; Cyprinidae. The record is from Ensembl.